UACGUAGGGUGCAAGCGUUGUCCGGAUUUAUUGGGCGUAAAGAGCUCGUAGGCGGUCUGUCGCGUCGGAUGUGAAAACCCAGGGCUCAACCCUGGGCCUGCAUUCGAUACGGGCAGACUAGAGUGUGGCAGGGGAGACUGGAAUUCCUGGUGUAGCGGUGAAAUGCGCAGAUAUCAGGAGGAACACCGGUGGCGAAGGCGGCGACCUGGUCCGAUACUGACGCUGAGGCGCGAAAGCGUGGGGAGCAAACAGG
This 253-nucleotide ribosomal RNA is filed under the name uncultured bacterium. RNAcentral describes it as "partial 16S ribosomal RNA". It matches the Rfam family "Bacterial small subunit ribosomal RNA", at positions 524 to 776 of the family's 1533-position model. The record is from RNAcentral.